Molecule: ribosomal RNA, 481 nt
Filed under: uncultured bacterium
Lineage: Bacteria
Description: partial 16S ribosomal RNA
Rfam family: Bacterial small subunit ribosomal RNA
Source: RNAcentral
GACGAACGCUGGCGGCGUGCUUAACACAUGCAAGUCGAGCGGAAAGGCCACUUCGGUGGUGCUCGAGCGGCGAACGGGUGAGUAACACGUGAGUAAUCUGCCCCUGGCUUUGGGAUAGCCACCGGAAGCGGUGAUUAAUACCGGAUACGACCACUUCUCGCAUGGGAUGGUGGUGGAAAGGUUUUUCGGCCAGGGAUGUGCUCGCGGCCUAUCAGCUUGAUGGUGGGGUAAUGGCUCACCAUGGCUUCGACGGGUAGCCGGCCUGAGAGGGUGACCGGUCACACUGGGACUGAGACACGGCCCAGACUCCUACGGGAGGCAGCAGUGGGGAAUAUUGGACAAUGGGCGGAAGCCUGAUCCAGCAACGCCGCGUGAGGGAUGACGGCCUUCGGGUUGUAAACCUCUUUCAGCAGGGACGAAGCGCAAGUGACGGUACCUGCAGAAGAAGCACCGGCCAACUACGUGCCAGCCGCCGCCGUAA